CAUAGACAGAAAGUCUGAGAAACAGAUAGAUAAAGAGACAGGGACAGAGAUAGAAACAAAGAAUGUCAGAGAAAAACUGAAGACAGAGACACGGAAAGAGUCAUAGGACACUGGUUCUUUUUUCCCCACACUCAAGCUUGGAUAUUCGCCUUCCCAUCCCACAGCAGAUAAAAGAAGCAGAUCAGAAGUGGGAAGAGGGAUCUCUUCAUUGGAGAUGGAGGUCCACGCGGAUACAUUUGUAUGCAACCUUGAAGAGUUGGGGUAGUUAUUGGCUCUGGAACUGUCCACAGUGCUGAAUAGUAUUAAAGUGGUCUUUCUAACUAUGUAUACCAGAGAGAGAAGAAAACAGGUGAAGGAAGGGCACACUAGGGAGAGUAAUAUUCAUAUGAGUCCAAUGUUUAUCCAUUUCACAAACAUGCACAAAUACCCCCCAUCAAGUAAAGCUGAGGUAGCGCUGAAUAGUGAUGGUGUGGUGAAAAGAAUACUUAUUUGAUGUGGUCAGAAGACUUGGGGUUUCAGCUUCAACACUUAUUAGCUAUGUGACCAUAGGAAAAUUGUUUCACCCCUCUAAGUCCAAGUGUCUCCAUCAAUAAAAUGGGAGGAGGGGCAAUAAUACUAACACCACCUAUGUCACAGAGCUUUUGUGGGGAAAACACUUUCUAAUUCAAGGCUCAGCUCAUGUGCCACAUUCCACACAAUGCCCUCAAAUGCUGGUACUUUCCCAAUAAGAAAUUUCUUUAUGGUUUCUCUUUCUCUCUGUUAUAUUACAUAUUUAAAUAUGUACAUGGUGUCUC
Molecule: non-coding RNA, 794 nt
Organism: Phascolarctos cinereus (koala)
Lineage: Eukaryota; Metazoa; Chordata; Mammalia; Diprotodontia; Phascolarctidae
Source: RefSeq, a predicted model, not a curated record